This 72-nucleotide non-coding RNA is filed under the name unclassified sequences. The record is from RNAcentral.
UGCCUCAUACCUGAACAGGCCUUUGGGAGCCGGGUCGAAAGAUAGUGGAUGCGAUGCCUCCGCGGGACAGUG